CCCAGCGAUAAAUCACUGGGCUAUAAUCAUGCUGUCCCUUCGGGACG
Molecule: small RNA, 47 nt
Filed under: Candidatus Electrothrix communis
Lineage: Bacteria; Pseudomonadati; Thermodesulfobacteriota; Desulfobulbia; Desulfobulbales; Desulfobulbaceae
Description: Acido-Lenti-1 RNA
Source: RNAcentral